ACCUUAAAGGGGCCGCAGCCGCGAGAUGCUGGAGAGGAGCGCCGUAGCUUGGAGGGGAGGGCCCUUAGAGCAAGUGAAGCAGGAGGCCAGCUAGAUUUCCGGAAUGGAGGCGCAUCCCGAGGCAGGGGAUAGAUAGAAUGAUCACUCCUGUUUUCCAGGUGAAAAGAGUCAUGCUGCAGAGAAGUUUGGCCAGCCAGGAAGCCAUUGGCCCUCUCUGUGCCCACAACUGGGCAGGUUCAACAAACAGGAGCCUCUUCCCAGACCAUCGGCCUCAGGACACUGCGUCACCCCACUAAACCUACCUGGAACCCCCCAAACCGACGUCACUCUGAAUAUGCUGUAACCAGCAAUCUUGGAAUCUGCCUUUAGGCUGGGCGGGCCCUCUGGUUAGCCACAGGCCCCCUCCACUCCCUACGGCUUUACACGAUUGUUCACAUUUAUACCACCUGCGGUCCCAGGAGGGUGCUUGAAUUUGUGACUUGGGGGUCUCCAGGCUAAAACCCCCAACUUAUUGGCAUUCAAAUCCUUCAGAAUCUAGCCUUGUUUGCCACCACUCUCUCCCUUCCUCAAUUACAGGGAACUUCUCACCAUGCCCCCUCAACUCCCAGCUCCGCCAGCCUCAUCAUUCUGCAAGUCUUGAAGGACAGGGUUUGUUUUGAAGGACAGUGCGUGCUGCCCACUCCAGGUGCUGAGCGACGUGGGAGGAGGUGAGGCAAGCAGUCAGACAGACUCUGUUUUGCUACUUACAGUAUAGUUUAACUCAUGGGCCUCUAUUUCUCUGUAUGUGACAUAAAAAGGCUGCAGCAGGUCCCAGCCUUCAUUUAUCAGUAAAUCUUUGUUUUUAGAUGCAAUAUUUUUCAGAAAUCCAGUAGUUAAUACAGAUAAACUUUUUAUUUAUUUUUUUUCUUUUUUUGAAUCCGCCACGGGUGUACAUGUGUUCCCCAUCCUUUAAAAAGAUAAACUUUUUAAAACCCAACAACAAAGAGACCAAAAAAAAAAAAAAACCCAAACCCACCAACCAUUUAAAAAUGGACAAAUAAUUCAAACUUAUCUCCAAAGAAGACAUCCAAAUGGCUGAUGGUCACAUGAAAAGGUGGUCAACGUUGGGACUUGCCUGGUGGUCCAGUGGUUGGGAAUCCGCCUGCCAAUGCCGGGGACAUGGAUUCAACCCCUGGUCCAGGAAGAUCCCAUGUGCCUCAGAGCAGCUAAGCCCAUGUGCCACAACUACUGAGCCUGCGCUCUAGAGCCCUCAUGCCCGCAACUAAGGGAGCCCCGGCGCUCAGGGGCCCGUGCUCCACAACAAGAGAAGCCGCCCCAGUGAGAAGCCCGUGCACUGCAAGGAAGAGUAGCCCCUGCUUGCUGCAACUAGAGAAAGCCGUGUGACACAACAAAGAUCCAGCCCAGCCAAAAAUAAGCAUCAUACCCUUCUGACAAAUAAAGCCCCUGCUGAAGGAAAAGCAACUUAGAUCACCUAAUGGAUGUCACAAUAAUAUGAACCAGCAUAUCUCUGACCGUCUUAUGAAGAAAGCUGGGGUACUUUGAAGAUAAUUCCUACUUCUCUGCCCCAAAUGCAACUGAAAUAUUCUUACAGUGGUUUGCCAUUAGGGUGUUCAUCAGAUAAGUUUUCCUACUAGAAAUUAAAAAC
Long non-coding RNA from Bos taurus (domestic cattle), 1645 nucleotides. The record is from Ensembl. NCBI's taxonomy places the organism in Eukaryota, Metazoa, Chordata, Mammalia, Artiodactyla, Bovidae.